Molecule: long non-coding RNA, 2556 nt
Organism: Apodemus sylvaticus (European woodmouse)
Lineage: Eukaryota; Metazoa; Chordata; Mammalia; Rodentia; Muridae
Exons: 3
Source: RefSeq, a predicted model, not a curated record
AGCUGCCUGGAAGCAUGUCUUCCACUAGCAGCCUUCAGUUGAAGAUGUAGAACUCUCAGCUCCUCCUGCACCAUAUCUGCCUGGAUGCUGCCAUGCUCCUGCCUUGAUGAUAAUGGACGGAACCUCUCCUAAAUGACAGAUCGGGGCAUAGACACAAAGAGGAGGAUACAUGAUCUACAGCUCAAUGAGACAUGCUCAGCAGAUACAACCUAUGGAUACCUUCAUAUUUGGCUUCCAGGAUCCAGACGCUGAAGAGGUUCAGCAAGGAAGAGCCACCCAAGCCUGGGUUCAAUCCCUGAAACUCACAACAAAUCUCCACACAGUGGCACGUCUGUAUCCUGCCAGAAUGUAGUUGCAGUGAGAAGACAGGAGCGUGAGCCUCGCAGGCAGGGCAGCAGCUGAAGACACUGCCUGCCUACAUACAAGGAAGAGAGAAACCGUGGUGAAUGGCGGCUUUUGUGAUAUUCUUCCCACCAAGACAAGCGUCUCAUAAAAGACUGGAGAGAAGACUCCUGGAAUCACCCGCCAGUGCCAUGCCAGUCCUCAUUGUUCUAAGAAAGGACCAGUGGAGGAGGUAAACCAUGAGAAUCACAUUCUAGGAAGCCAUUUUCAUCCACAGCACCAAAUGUCCGCUCACCAAACAUCUAUAUAUAUAAUCUUCUCGCUGAAUCAAUGUCAUGGUGAGAGGCAGGAAGGUUUUAGGGACUCAAAAGGAGGGAAACAACCUGAUAUGUAAAAACUCAAAACAUAUAAUAAAGUUCCUGAUCAGGUUCUAUUAGCAAUGAAAUAAUAAAGGACAUCUGGGGACUGUGAAGGGUUAUAGACCUGACAGGGCUGAAGAUGUCAAGAAUGUGUUCAUUUUGAUAGUUAAGAACGGAAUUGUUAAGGUAAGCAAAUGUCCUUUUAAAGGGAUGAAAAAUAACUCAUCAUCCAGGAAUGAAAUGCUAUAUAAUAUUCCUUUUAAUAUAUCAGUAAAAAAGUGCUUGUUGGGAGAUAGCUCAGUAGUUAAGAGCACUGACUGUUCUUCCAGAGAUCCUGAGCUCAAUUCCCAGCAACCACAUGGUGGCUCACAACCAUCUGUAAUGUGAUCCAAUGCCCUCCUCUGAUGUGUCUGAAGACAGCUACAGUGUACACAUAUACAUUAAAUAAAUAUUUUUAAAGGAAAAGAAAGGAAACCAGUUAUCCAUUACAUGGUCAGCUGUGAAGCUCACCACGCACCUAUUGCCCUUCCUGGUCCUGCAUGAGCAUCCACAGGAGGCACUUGGUCCAUUUGCUGUUGCUCUUGACCAAGCCUAUAUCUAUGGAAAUUGACACAGGACCUCCUGGGAAUAAAUGUGGUCAGAAAAUAGGGAAUCAGGGAGCAGGGGCAAAAGAAUAUCCUAGCUUUCUGUCCGGUUGCUGAGAUGAAAUGUUCUGAUGAGAAGCACACAUGGAGAUAAAGGUUUAUUUCAGAGCACAGUUCAGAGGUUCAGUCAAUCAUUGCAGGGAAGUCAAGGCAGGAACCUGAUGCAGCUGGUUACAUGCAGUCCAGAGCACAGAGAGAAUGCACACCUGCCGGCCAGUGCUCAGCUCACCUCCAUUCUCCUGCCACCCAGGUCCCAGGCCCAAGGAACAGUGCUGCCUGCAGUGGGCUGAGUCUCUACUCGUGGAUUAACGUAAGGAAAACAAUGCCCACAAGCCACACGACUAGACUAUUCCUCAUUUUCUAGAUGAUUCCAAAUGAUUGUAGAUUUUGUCAAGUUAGCAGUCAAAACUAACCACCCCACACAGGAUGAGAUAAAAACACAAUAUACGAGGCCCCACAAAAUAACAAGCACUAAACAAGGUAGAAGAAGAUGCUAGAGACAACCUGGAAGGAAAAUUAAGUUAGGGUGAAGCACAGAGCAACAGUUCUCAGUCUCACAGCAUAGGUCAGUUACAGAAAUGUAUUUGAAAGAUCAAGGGAACAAAGUCCUCUGGAUCAGGGCUUGUCAACCUGUGGGCAGUGAUCCCCUUAGGGGUCACAUAUCAGAUACUUACAUUGAGAUUCACAACAGUAGCAAAAAUACAGUUAUGAGGUACUAACAAAAUAAUUUUAUGCUUGUGGGUUGCCAGGAAUGAGGAACUGUAUUAAAGGGUCACAGCAUUAGGAAGGGAAGAUAAAGAAUAGAAAGAACUCAUCAAAUUCUCAAAUGAGUCAUGAGUUUAACACUAACGGCAGAGGACGUCACGUGAGGGAGACUUGAAAUGGCUGUGUGAGCAGCGCUCUUCCCUGCUGGAUCGCUCUCCAUUCCCAGGCUCGACCAUUGUUAAGAUGGUUUCACAGUUUAAUGUCCACCUUCACAUCAUGCACUUAGUCACUUACUCAUUAACAGAGAAAGCAGCCACCUUUGACCACACAAACUACAGGAAAGAGGUUGUGGAGGGUCAUGUCAUCCACACCAGAUAUCUCUGUCUCUGUCUCUCUCUGUCUCUUUCUCUGAGUCUUUCAAGAUUUUUCCUCACAUUACCUUGGUAUUUUGAUCUUUAUCCAGAUGCAGAAGCUCCAGCACCUCAUCAAUCCGUCUUCUUUUUUCA